CCUACGGGUGGCAGCAGUGAGGAAUAUUGGGCAAUGGGCGAAAGUCUGACGCAGCCACGUAGCGUGAGGGAUGACUGCCCUCUGGGUUGUAAACUUCUUUUGUAUGGGAGUAAGAUGUUCCACGUGUGGAGUUGUGUAUUUACCGUAUGUGUAAGGAUAGGCUCACUCAGUUCCGGCCGCCGCGGUAAUACGGAGGAGCCGAUCGUUAUUCGGAUUGAGUGGAUUUAAAGGGCGUGUAGGCGGGAAAGCAAGUCAAGUGUGAAACCCCAGGGCUCAACGCUGAGCCUGCAUUUGAAACUGGUGUUCUGGAGUGUUGGAGAGGCAAUUGGAAUUCCGGGUGUAGGGGUGAAAUGCGUAGAUAUACGGAGGAACAACAGUGGCGAAGGCGGAUAGCUGGACAGUAACUGACGCUGAGGAGCGAAAGCGUGGGGAGCAAACAGGAUUAGAUACCCGAGUAGUC
RNAcentral lists this ribosomal RNA (460 nucleotides) under uncultured bacterium. Its description in RNAcentral is "partial 16S ribosomal RNA". It matches the Rfam family "Bacterial small subunit ribosomal RNA", at positions 338 to 795 of the family's 1533-position model. The record is from RNAcentral.